Molecule: ribosomal RNA, 607 nt
Filed under: uncultured bacterium
Lineage: Bacteria
Description: bacterial SSU rRNA
Rfam family: Bacterial small subunit ribosomal RNA
Source: RNAcentral
AAUAUUGGGCGUAAAGCGCGCGCAGGCGGUUUCUUAAGUCUGAUGUGAAAGCCCACGGCUCAACCGUGGAGGGUCAUUGGAAACUGGGAAACUUGAGUACAGAAGAGGAGAGUGGAAUUCCACGUGUAGCGGUGAAAUGCGUAGAUAUGUGGAGGAACACCAGUGGCGAAGGCGACUCUCUGGUCUGUCACUGACGCUGAGGCGCGAAAGCGUGGGGAGCAAACAGGAUUAGAUACCCUGGUAGUCCACGCCGUAAACGAUGAGUGCUAGGUGUUAGGGGUUUCGAUGCCCUUAGUGCCGAAGUAAACACAGUAAGCACUCCGCCUGGGGAGUACGACCGCAAGGUUGAAACUCAAAGGAAUUGACGGGGGCCCGCACAAGCAGUGGAGCAUGUGGUUUAAUUCGAAGCAACGCGAAGAACCUUACCAGGUCUUGACAUCCUUUGACCACUUGAGAGAUCAAGCUUUCUCCUUCGGGAGACAAAGUGACAGGUGGUGCAUGGUUGUCGUCAGCUCGUGUCGUGAGAUGUUGGGUUAAGUCCCGCAACGAGCGCAACCCUUGAUCUUAUUGCCAGCAUUCAGUUGGGCCUCUAAGUGACUGCCGGUGA